CCUACGGGAGGCAGCAGUGGGGGAUAUUGGACAAUGGGGGAAACCCUGAUCCAGCGACGCCGCGUGAGUGAAGAAGUAUUUCGGUAUGUAAAGCUCUGUCAGCAGGGAAGAAAGAAAUGACGGUACCUGACCAAGAAGCCCCGGCUAACUACGUGCCAGCAGCCGCGGUAAUACGUAGGGGGCAAGCGUUAUCCGGAAUUACUGGGUGUAAAGGGAGCGUAGGCGGUGAGGUAAGUCUGGAGUGAAAGGCGGGGGCCCAACCCCCGGACUGCUCUGGAAACUGUGUAACUUGAGUGCAGGAGAGGUAAGCGGAAUUCCUAGUGUAGCGGUGAAAUGCGUAGAUAUUAGGAAGAACACCAGUGGCGAAGGCGGCUUACUGGACUGAAACUGACGUUGAGGCUCGAAAGCGUGGGGAGCAAACAGGAUUAGAUACCCUAGUAGUC
RNAcentral lists this ribosomal RNA (443 nucleotides) under uncultured bacterium. Its description in RNAcentral is "partial 16S ribosomal RNA". It matches the Rfam family "Bacterial small subunit ribosomal RNA", at positions 338 to 795 of the family's 1533-position model. The record is from RNAcentral.